RNAcentral lists this ribosomal RNA (253 nucleotides) under uncultured bacterium. RNAcentral describes it as "partial 16S ribosomal RNA". It matches the Rfam family "Bacterial small subunit ribosomal RNA", at positions 524 to 776 of the family's 1533-position model. The record is from RNAcentral.
CACGGGGGGUGCAAGCGUUAUUCGGAAUUAUUGGGCGUAAAGGGCGCGUAGGCGGCUUGCCAGGUCAGAUGUGAAAGCCCGGGGCUUAACCCCGGAAGUGCAUUUGAAACCGGUAGGCUUGAGUAUGGGAGAGGGAAGUGGAAUUCCUGGUGUAGAGGUGAAAUUCGUAGAUAUCAGGAGGAACACCGGUGGCGAAGGCGACUUCCUGGACCAAUACUGACGCUGAGGCGCGAAGGCGUGGGGAGCAAACAGG